This is a long non-coding RNA of Juglans regia (Persian walnut), 752 nucleotides long. RefSeq lists it as uncharacterized. The record is from RefSeq and is a predicted model, not a curated record. The transcript has 5 exons. Lineage: Eukaryota; Viridiplantae; Streptophyta; Magnoliopsida; Fagales; Juglandaceae.
CCGUUUCAAGUUAGCACAGGGAGAGAAAACCAAGCCCCUACCUGUGCGACAUGUGCGUAUUACAUUCAGCAAAAGGGAAAGAAAACUCAAGCUCUCACCCGUGUGUCUCAUUUGUUCAUGGUCCAUUUCGUUCCUUUCUUUCCAACUUCAGAAAAGCCCUAGCUCUCAUCUCCUCAAGGUGAGGAACAACAAGUCGAAACACUCUCUGUGUUCUUCAGUUCCACACGCCCAUUUCAUUGUUUGAUACUCCAUUUCAUACCUGGGGAGGAAGCUUAAAUCAGAUUUCACCCUGUUGACUUCCAAUGGUUGAUUUCUCACUUGUUGCUCUUUACUCUUGUUUAGUCGAGUGUGACUAAGUGGAAGACGGGUAGGGAUAGCCCAAAUCGUGCAAGACCACAGUUGUGAAGGACUUAUUGAGGUGCAAAGAGGGACUAAGGAAAUGAUGAAGAUGAGACUGUGGAGCAAGACAUUGCUAGGGAGGGGGGAGCCAGAUGCCUAGAGUAGCCUGGGGAUGGGUCUCUUUUAUCUGAUGUUAGAUUAUUUGGUUGGUUGGUUUGAAAAAAUAUUUUGGGGACAUGUAUUUUGAGACAAUUGUUUCUUUUGUGGACUGGGUAGAUGUUUCUAACCAGGAAAUGACUAUAGUUUUUAAACUUGUAAUUAAUGAGACCAUCCUAUAUUUUGAAAAAUAGGUUAUUUUGGGACUUGAAAUAUGAUAGAAAAUGGGAAGGUUCAUUUUCUAAAUUUUAGUAUGA